Molecule: ribosomal RNA, 279 nt
Filed under: uncultured bacterium
Lineage: Bacteria
Description: partial 16S ribosomal RNA
Rfam family: Bacterial small subunit ribosomal RNA
Source: RNAcentral
UGCCAGCCGCCGCGGUAAUACGAAGGGACCUAGCGUAGUUCGGAAUUACUGGGCUUAAAGAGUUCGUAGGUGGUUGAAAAAGUUGGUGGUGAAAUCCCAGAGCUUAACUCUGGAACUGCCAUCAAAACUUUUCAGCUAGAGUUUGGUAGAGGAGAGUGGAAUUCCUAGUGUAGAGGUGAAAUUCGUAGAUAUUAGGAGGAACACCAGUGGCGAAGGCGACUCUCUGGGCCAAUACUGACGCUGAGGUUCGAAAGCGUGGGGAGCGAACGGGAUUAGAUA